CACCAAGCGUUUGGGAAAGUGGCAUGGUGCUGGUCCUUGAAAUUGAUGUUCUUAGUGAUUUAUGAUGGAGUUUUAUCUGAAUUUAACAUCGCUGUCCUCAACAUCAAUUUUGUUGACUCAUAGGCGGGUGACUGCUCAACGAUGACUGGAGACGAUCUUCGGUAUUACAACUGGUUUAUACCAAUGGGUUAUUUGCAUCUCAAGUUAAAUUAGUCACUGUUGAUCAACAAUGAGAUGUGGCCAUUGUUUGAUGGAUCAUUGAUGGUACGGAUGUGCAAUGAAACGAUGAUAUACCCACUGUAUUGGACCCAAACACCUUCCUGAAAAUUGUUCUGAAGGGGUUAGCACAAGGAAACUAUUGUUAUGACUUGCGAGGUCUGCUGGAGGUGACCGGAUCCGGAUGACUUGAGCAAAGUUGUGAAAAUUCAUGGCAAGGGAUGGGGGUACAAGGCAUGGGUCUGCGGCGCCACACCUUGCUGUUCCCUGCCGGUGGCCAGCGAGCUGUGGUGGUGCUUCUCUGUUGCAUGGCGAGGGACUGGGGUGCAAGGCGUGCAUCUGCAGUGCCACUCCUGGGGCAUGCCUCUCCCGCGACAUUGCCAGCAUACACAACAUACCUUACUACACGGGGAUUUCCUCUCUGAACUAAAUAUUAUGUCAGAACUGAAUAUUACGUCCGAAGACUGAAACAUCCAGAAAGCUUAUUGAGACUAUUCAUUGAUGGUGUUUCUCUACUACACGAGGAAGUUUCAUGUGCCAAUUAGGCAUGGACGACGA
Molecule: non-coding RNA, 774 nt
Organism: Triticum urartu
Lineage: Eukaryota; Viridiplantae; Streptophyta; Magnoliopsida; Poales; Poaceae
Source: RefSeq, a predicted model, not a curated record